UACGAAGGGGGCGAGCGUUGUUCGGAAUUACUGGGCGUAAAGGGCGCGCAGGCGGCGAGUUUUGUCAGGCGUGAAAGCCCCGGGCUCAACCUGGGAACUGCGCUUGAAACGGGCUUGCUAGAGACCGGGAGAGGAGAGUGGAAUUCCCAGUGUAGAGGUGAAAUUCGUAGAUAUUGGGAAGAACACCGGUGGCGAAGGCGGCUCUCUGGACCGGAUCUGACGCUGAGGCGCGAAAGCGUGGGGAGCAAACAGG
RNAcentral lists this ribosomal RNA (253 nucleotides) under uncultured bacterium. Its description in RNAcentral is "partial 16S ribosomal RNA". It matches the Rfam family "Bacterial small subunit ribosomal RNA", at positions 524 to 776 of the family's 1533-position model. The record is from RNAcentral.